AAGUUUACAACAGGCGUUUUUUACCUGUUGCAGGAGACACAGUUAGCUCCAUAUCGGAGGAACAUGCAAGAUCUUCUUUGUGAUGCAAGUAUGCUUCCAUAUCCUGAACCAUAUCAGAGUACGUACCAGCGCCGCCGCCUAGGAGCUCUGGGUACCGAGUGGCGUCCUUCUUCAAUUAAAUUUUCUGUAGGCACAGAUGGUGGUUUGGGCCUAGGAUAUCAGGUUUUACCAGUGGCUGACUUGGACAUAAUAGCUGAACCACUGCCAGAGUUUGUGGAUACCCUUUUCUGGGAGCCAGAUAAUGUUAUUCUGAAUGAUGAGACCGAUUCAGAAUAUAAUAUGAAUGAAGAGCUUUCUGCUGAAG
This 364-nucleotide unclassified non-coding RNA is filed under the name Hevea brasiliensis (rubber tree). Lineage: Eukaryota; Viridiplantae; Streptophyta; Magnoliopsida; Malpighiales; Euphorbiaceae. The record is from RNAcentral.